Molecule: long non-coding RNA, 1106 nt
Filed under: Canis lupus familiaris (dog)
Lineage: Eukaryota; Metazoa; Chordata; Mammalia; Carnivora; Canidae
Description: lncRNA (ENSCAFG00000044639.2)
Source: RNAcentral
UGACCGCCUGGUUGGGGGUGGGGGGCAGAGCCCUGGGGGCUAAGGCUGUGCGGCCUGAGCAUUCCUCGGCCCAGGGCGACCCCGGGUCCCGGGAUCGAGUCCUGCCCCGCCCUCCCCGCGGGGAGCCCGCUGCCCCCUCCCCGGGUGUCUGCCUCUCUCUGGGGGCCCCGUGAGUACACAAAUCACAUCUUUAAAGUAAAAUAUGUAAAAUAAAGAUCCGUGGAGGAUGGAGACCGCCCGAAGCCACAAGCCGGCAGCGGGUCCGGUGCAGCCUCCUGGGGGCCGCUGGGGGGCGUGGCCGGGGGGGCGCGAGUGCGAGGCCGCGGGGCCCGGGGGGGGGGGGGGGGCACGAGCCCAGCCGGUGGUGUUCCCGGCUCCCCGGGCUGCGUGCGGCCGUUUGCGCGGCUCAUCGCGGAAGCGUCCUCGUCCUCGUCCUCGUCCUCGUCCUCGGGGAGCCUGGAAGCUCAGAAAAAAACAGGCCGCGGUAAGAGGUGCUAGGGGUCUGAAGUUAUUCCCUGCAGCACUCUUCAGGAUAGUGAAAGACUAGAAACAACCCGAACCCCCACCAGUAGGCCAUGCCCUAAGCGAGUUAUGGUGUAUGUGGGUGACAGGUGGCUGUACAACCAGGAAGGGGACGAGGACCGCCUCCCGCGCUGGUGCCAUCGUGAUCACCAGGCCACGGCGCUGAAUGCAAUGCCAGAGCGAAGAACAAGGCAUCUGGUCUGUUACCAUUUGAAAAAUAAUAAUAAAAAAAAUGGGUAAAAGUUUUUUUGCUUGAUUCCAUGGAGAAUGCCACCAAAAAGAGUCAGAAGACAUUGGCUCAGUCCAGUUGCUCGUGGGGAGAGGAAUGGAGUCCAAGGGAGUGAAAGAGCACUCCGUUCUGCCAGCCCGUCGGAGACUAUUUCAUUCUUUAACCGCCUCGCUCACAUUCUAGAACAAUACUUCAUUGCUUCAGCCUCGGGAAUGGUGUCUGAGCUGCUGAAGGUAAUGAAGACAAGUGUUCUACUUAUCCAAGAAUUGGAGCUCAUUUCUUCUUGCUUGCACGAGUAUUGCCUUGCCAGCCAGCUCACUACAAAACCACCCCACGGCAAUAAACCACGCUGCCU